GUCUAGGGCCAUACCAUUCUAAUCCUCUGGAUUUCAUCAGAUCUCUGAAGCCAAACAGGAUCAGACGUGGUUAGUACCUGGAUGGGAUGGCAAGGAUUGGAUGCUUCUGAUA
RNAcentral lists this ribosomal RNA (112 nucleotides) under Mus spicilegus (steppe mouse). Lineage: Eukaryota; Metazoa; Chordata; Mammalia; Rodentia; Muridae. The record is from RNAcentral.